Molecule: non-coding RNA, 74 nt
Organism: Podarcis lilfordi (Lilford's wall lizard)
Lineage: Eukaryota; Metazoa; Chordata; Lepidosauria; Squamata; Lacertidae
Source: the annotation of a GenBank genome assembly
ACCUGGAUUGCUCAUUUGGUUAGAGUGUGGUGCUGAUAACACCACAGUGGCAGGUUUGAUCCCUGUAUGGGGCA